AUAAUACUCCCUCCGUCCGGAAAUAUUUGUCCUAGAAAUAAAUAAAUCUAGACUUAUUUUAAUUAUAGAUACAACAAUUAUAUUCAUUUUUAGGACAAGUAUUUUCGGACAGAGGGAGUAUAUA
Non-coding RNA from Hordeum vulgare subsp. vulgare (domesticated barley), 124 nucleotides. The record is from Rfam. NCBI's taxonomy places the organism in Eukaryota, Viridiplantae, Streptophyta, Magnoliopsida, Poales, Poaceae.